AAAAGAGAAAGAUGGGAUGACAUCUGUCACCCCAUUGAUCACCAGGGUUGAUUCGGCUGAUCUGACUAGGCAGGUGUCCCCUUCCACCUUCACCGCUUCAUGUGCGUCCCUCCCAAAGCUGCGCACUCAGUCGAAAAGGAUGACCAUCCCUGAUAGAGGAGGACCGUUCUUCAGUUAAGGGUAUACGAGUAGCUGCGCUCUCCUGCUAGAACCUCCAAACAAGCUCUCAAAAGAGAAAGAUAGCUGAGCAUGGUGGAUCAUGCCUGUAAUCCCAGCUACUUGGAAGGCAGAGGAUUGCCAUUCACAG
RNAcentral lists this small nuclear RNA (307 nucleotides) under Castor canadensis (American beaver). Its description in RNAcentral is "7SK RNA (ENSCCNG00000009690.1)". It matches the Rfam family "7SK RNA". From Rfam's summary of the family: 7SK was discovered as an abundant small nuclear RNA in the mid-70s but a possible function has only recently been suggested. Lineage: Eukaryota; Metazoa; Chordata; Mammalia; Rodentia; Castoridae. The record is from RNAcentral.